This 253-nucleotide ribosomal RNA is filed under the name uncultured bacterium. Its description in RNAcentral is "partial 16S ribosomal RNA". It matches the Rfam family "Bacterial small subunit ribosomal RNA", at positions 524 to 776 of the family's 1533-position model. The record is from RNAcentral.
UACAGAGGUCUCAAGCGUUGUUCGGAUUCAUUGGGCGUAAAGGGUGCGUAGGUGGCGUGGUAAGUCUGGUGUGAAAUCCCGGGGCUCAACCCCGGAACUGCACUGGAUACUGCCAUGCUUGAGUACUGGAGAGGAGACUGGAAUUUACGGUGUAGCAGUGAAAUGCGUAGAUAUCGUAAGGAAGACCAGUGGCGAAGGCGAGUCUCUGGACAGUUACUGACGCUGAGGCACGAAGGCCAGGGGAGCAAACGGG